GAUGAAGAACGUAGUGAAAUGCGAUAAGUAAUGUGAAUUGCAGAAUUCAGUGAAUCAUCGAAUCUUUGAACGCACAUUGCGCCCAUUAGUAUUCUAGUGGGCAUGCCUGUUCGAGCGUCAUUAAGUCCACUUAAGCCCUGCUUAGUGUUGGGAGACUGCUCCAGCGGUGCUACCCUGUAGCUACCCUGCAGCUCCUCAAAGACAGCGGCGGAGUUGUGGUAUCCUCUGAGCUUAGUAACUUGUUCUAGCUUUCGAGUACACCACUUCCCCUGCCGUAAAACCCUUAAUUUUUAAUGGUUGACCUCGGAUCAGGUAGGAAUACCCGCUGAACUUAAGCAUAUCAUAAGCGGAGGA
Molecule: unclassified non-coding RNA, 354 nt
Filed under: soil metagenome
Description: partial contains 5.8S ribosomal RNA, internal transcribed spacer 2, and large subunit ribosomal RNA
Rfam family: 5.8S ribosomal RNA (bases 1-120)
Source: RNAcentral